CGGGUCGGCGUUGGGGAAGCGUUGGUGCGCAGGUUCCAGGACCGGGGGAGAAGAAUCCAUCUCCAUCGGAGGACUGAGCGGGCAUCCGGCCGCAGACAUGCCGGAGAACGCAAGCACAAAGGGGGCCUUUCUGAAUGCGGCCGCAGGGAACCGCAACUCCGGUGGCAAUCGCAGUUCUUACCAGGAUAAAGAUAAGCCCGCUCAGAUCCGCUUCAGCAACAUUUCUGCGGGGAAAGAGCGCUAAUUUUACAGGGUGAAGCACCAGAAACAGAGUUGGCAUUAUGCUUGAAUUCAUGUGGUUUAAGUGGCGUGGAAUAUUUUUGCAUUCCUGCUUAUGGAGAGGUUUUGGAAAUUAUUCCAUCCACCCUGGCUGAAAAUGGUGGGCCCUAAUCUGAUAUCGACUGUUACGGAGCUGAGAAAUGGACAUGGACAAGGAGAGAAAACUGUUGGCAUUAAUGUCAGAAAGAUGAACACUUGAUGAAAUUACUAAAGGAAGAGGCAGAACUCUUAACUAGAACACUAUCCUAAGUUUGGAAUUUGGCUCCUAUAUAGAGGCACUGCGUUAAGACACCUAUUUAGCUUGCGGUUAUGUUCAUGUUCUGUUAACACGUGAUGACAUGAACUAAAUGCCACAACUUACAUUCUGACAUCAGGAUACAAGAAAAUUUUUGUAAUUUUCUUGAGUGGUAAAGUGACUUCACUGACAUAAUGUGAUUGAAAUUAAUUGACUGACAGUAGCCAAAUCCCAUCAUUAGCAAUAAAUAUUUUUGCCAGGAAUGAUUAACUUGGUGGUAAUUUGAAAAUUUGUAUUAGUGAUUAUUAAACCAUUUUUAUUCACUACAGCUCCUUUUUAUUUUGUAUUUUUGGCCUCUGAUGCAAGGAGAAGCAAGAGCAGGAGAAGCGGGGCCCUUUGAGUAACUAUUUUCAGUAACAAAGAGUGUCUUUGAUUAAUGUUUCUAAAUUCUUUGGAGUAACAAGCAAGAAUGUGAAAUUCUGAUACGAACCAGAUCAGACCAACUAGAGACAAGAAUUGGCAGAGAGUUGAACUUUAAUAAUUUGAAAAUUAAUUAUGUGGGAAACAUGCCCCUUGAAUAUUCAGUUGACCCUUAACAGGAUCAUACUAAGAAUAAUGGGAUGCUACAAACUGUUACAUGGUACAUUUAUGGACAUGCUGUCUAGAUGCUUGAUGACUCGAAUGAUGCUGAUCAAUUAAAGAAUAUAUACCAAAUCCAA
Ahaetulla prasina is the source of this 1233-nucleotide long non-coding RNA. RefSeq lists it as uncharacterized. NCBI's taxonomy places the organism in Eukaryota, Metazoa, Chordata, Lepidosauria, Squamata, Colubridae. The transcript has 3 exons. The record is from RefSeq and is a predicted model, not a curated record.